ACAACUAACUGGAAGAUAUGCAUUUUAUUUCACCCCUUCUCUCUCCCCCCUUCAGCCCGAAGCCGCUGGAGUGAUGGAGCCUAACGUUUGAAGACCCAUCUCCCUCACCCCCUUCAGUAGAAGAAAUUUAGUCGAAGGUAAUUUUUUUUUUCCAAUUCAUUUUAAAUGUCUACCUUUGAAGAUCCAUCUCUCAUUUUUGUUUAUGCAUUAUUUUUGGAGACACAUGGACCGAUUCACCACAACCGUUUGAAGACCCAACUCGCUGACUCCCUUCAAUUUUUCAGUUUGAAGAAAUCCCCGUGAAAGUGUUGAACUUAAAGUAGUCAUCUGUCAAUCAUCACGUAGACAAACUAUGGCAUCGAGUCAAUCAUCGUCGUGUGUAGUUAAUGAUCUUGAAAUCGAAUCACCAAGUUGUUGGUGUGGUUUGAAAACGCCAUUAAAGAUCUCCUACACUCACAAUAAUCCUGGACGGAAAUUUUAUGCUUGACCGAAUUAUCAUACGGGAGAAAGAAAAUGUAAAUUCUUCAUUUGGGCAGAUAUACUUCAAUCAGUAUUAUCUGAGAAAAACUUGACAAGAGAUAAUGAUCUUCGGAAGAGGGAGGAUGCUGUAUUGUUGCGUGAGUAUGAAGCUCAAAAAGAAAAAGACAAACUAAUAGAUAGAGAGAAAAUGCUAAAGAAGCAUGAAGACGAGCUCCAAAGAAGGAUAGUAGAGAAUAGGGUCGUACGUAUAUUGUUGUGUCUAUAUUGGUUUGUAUCUCUUGUAAUAGUUUUUGAUUUGUUCUGAAUGGCAUGGUUUAUCAUGUUAGUUUUAAAUGUAAAUAGAAUGACUAUUUUUUUGUGUC
Juglans regia (Persian walnut) is the source of this 842-nucleotide long non-coding RNA. RefSeq lists it as uncharacterized. The transcript has 3 exons. Lineage: Eukaryota; Viridiplantae; Streptophyta; Magnoliopsida; Fagales; Juglandaceae. The record is from RefSeq and is a predicted model, not a curated record.